AGGCGGGCGCCCGCGGCCGGUGGGGCCGGAGCGGAGGCCCGCGGGCGUGAAGAUGUAGGGAAUAAUUCAGGCUGGAGCUCCUCAGUUCAGAAAGAGAGAAGACCAAUGGCUGUACUCAGGCUCCAUCUGAUCUCUGCAUGCUGUCCUGUGGAUACCAGCUCUUGUACCUUGUGGUUUCAUGGUUUGAUUAUGGGGCAAAUGAACAUGCAUGAAGCUUGUUUCCAUGUAACGACACUCCCAUGAUGUACCAGUGGUGGGUCCAGAUGGAAGUGGCUACACCCUCUCCUUGUAGAGGCCAGCCCUGAAGACUCCCGCACUGCUAACAGCUUGCCAUAAAAUCCAGAAGGGAAGUAUGCAUCACCAAGUGCACAAGUCACUGUAGAUCACCUUCAGACCACCCUAGGCACAGCAAAAGACUCAGCUAUGUAUGGUCCAACACAUAGAUGGUUGACCUCUGUGCAUAUGGUUUCCACUGUCCUUUCCCAGCAUGCAAGUCUCCAUUUAAUACAAAUUUCUCCCUUGAAGAACAACAACAAGAAGAGGAAGAACUAAUGGACGAACUGUGGUGCAAAGAAGGUGAUAUGUGGUUUAGAAUAGUAGAAUUACAGUUUCCAGGACUCCUCUUUGAACUAAUCCUUCAGUUCAUAGCUAUGUGCCAAUUAUUCAGCACAGCCAAUUAGAGAAGUUGGUAGUCUCACAGAGCUUUGGGCAUGUAAAAAUCACAUGUCUGAGUCUAGUCCAGUCACCAGAGACGCCCUUUACAGUUAGGAGGUUAAAACAGGCUCUUGCAGCUGUUUAUUCAUCUGACCUGCAAGUACCUAUCUUCGGCUGAGAUGAGUCAUCCUAUGCAAAAUCUGAUUUCUUUCCACUGGAUAUAAAGUCGGUAACUAGAUUAAACGUAAGCAUCUAUCUUGUACAUAACAACACUUAUACAAAUGAAUUCAAACAGAUUUCAGUAGUGUAUGACAAUACAGUCCUGAGGAGUUUCUCAUUAUAUAACAGAUGAAGGAACAGAAAAAUAAGUCUUCCAAAAAGUGCACAUGAUUUGCAUGACAAAAUGUAUUCUACUUCAGGCAUACAGCAGCAGAAAGAGAGAACAUGCUCAAAAUAAAAUGACAGAAUUUAUUUGAGGAAAAAAAAAAGAUGAGAGACGCAUGCAUAUAGUUUAUCUAAGAUGUAAGUAAAUGUACAGAUGCACAAAGAAAAUACUAUAUCCAAAUGAGAAUAAAAUUGUUUAGAGGAUGCAAAGGAUAUAAACUAGAAAUAAGGAGAUUAUAUUGCACACAGGAAAAUGUAUAUUGAAUAUAACAAGUUACUUUUACCAUUUCAUUUAGCAAGUGAACAUUAAUGAGAAUUAGAAAGCGAAGAAAGGGAAGCUUGUAGGUAUGGAUAAAAGCUGGUAAUACACAUAGUUCUGCUUUUCUGUGGAUCUGUUUUCCUUUCUGGGGGGAUUUGGUGGGGUUUCUUUAGUUAAUUGGUUGGUUGGUUUGGGGGUUGGUGGGUUUUUUGCAGGGUUUGUUGGGUGGAGUUUUUUUCAGUGCAUUCAUAGAUUUUUGUCCGGUUUUGGUCUAAGUUCUGUUCAGAGAAUGUUUAUCUGUAAUUGAUUAAUUAGCAGCUGGAUUUAGUUAACUUUUCCUCUUUAAGAAGGAUACAAUGGAGACAACUCUCUGAUCUCAAAUAUUGUACUGAUCAGGUACACAAAGCCCAAAUCCAGACAAUGAGAUAAAAUUAUGUGUUAUUAAUCCAUUGAUCUGUUGCAAUUUUGCAAAACCAGAAAUGAGACAAAUUCAGCAAAAUAUUUAAUAUAAGCCUAAUUAUACAUUUACAAUGUAUAGCUCUAGAGAAUUUAGCCUGUUCCCACUUACUCAUCAUAACUAUAGAGGUAUAAAUGGAAAAUUCCAGACUAAUCACUCACAGAUGGUAUUUCUCUGGCAAUCUUAAAAUGCAAUAUAUAAAACUAGAGGACAUCCAAAACAUCAACAAACUGGAAAAAGAAGAAAAUUCUCCAAUAAACAAAUUUCAAGAUACUUGACCAUAUUAAAAGGUCAGAAAGAGCUCAACCAGCUCUCCAAACCUUAGUCAAGUAUUAUGACAAUUUUGUUCAAAAUGUAAUGUGACAUGGGGAAAAGUAUGACACCAUACAGCAUCUUUAUAAUUUCAUAUACUUUUAAGCAUCCAGUUAUAUAAUUGUAUAUUAAAAACACAUUUGAAGUGUAUAAUACUAGCAACCUUACAGUUUAAGAAAAAUGCUACAUGCUAAAUAUAGGAUUAGAAGUUAUUACCCUCCAGGACCUUUGAAGAGAGAAACUUUGAAAUAUUAAAAGAACCUAAAUACCUCCACUUUCUUUGUACAAAACUACUUUAGGCAGAACAUUUCAGUAGGAACCUUAAGAAGCCCCUAUGUAUCUAAUUUAGGAUUAAAUACAGGUGUUAUCACCAGUAUGGGACAAAGCAAAAAAACAUGAAAAAUAUUUUCUUUCAAUAAUGUGUAUUCUAGUUCAGCAGAUGAAAUGAAGUAAUAUUCAUCCCAUUCAUAAAGAUUUGUCUGUUUUUAAAGAUGUCAUAGAAUCAAUACUUCACAUAUGUUUCAGUCUUACUGGAUCAUAGCACAAACAUUUUCUUGAAAAAUCACUAACUGAUGAAAAAGAAGAUGUUUACAAGACAAAAGAUAAUUUCAAAAUCACAUUAGAAAUUUAUUAGCUGCAAAUCAUGGCACAAUGCUUUAAAUUAUUUAACAAUUUAUUUGAUCAAAACUGAGCAUAUCUGAAUGUAAUAUUUUAAUGCAUAAUAGGAGACAGAUUUUGAGUUGAGAAGGAUAAAGAACUGUAAUGGCUUUUUCAAUCAUUUUUUUUCAAAGUUUUCCAUGAAAAGGCAUGAAAAUUAGCAGUUUUUCAUUUAGAUAAGAGUACUUUGACCCCUAAAAUAUCCACAAUGAACAUAAGAUUUAGAAAAAACAAUAUGAACCCAAAUAGUAAAACCUUCAAAAAAGUUUUAAAACUUUCAAAACUUACCCUUUCUCCUUGCUUCUUAAUGUUAGCAAAGGCAUUUAAUGCUCCCAGUGGUUUCUUUUUUGGAGAAUUUGCCAGAAUUUGGUUGUACUCCUCAUAGGUCUCUUAGAUACAUGCAUAAUAAAUGCAGAAGGUAAGGAAAAUUAAAAGAAAAUUUAAAGAGUAGACAAACACUUAGCAAGUUUGUGGGGGAAAAAAAUGUUUCCAGUGCCUAACCAGCUCCAGUAAGAGUAAAUAAAGUAAUAAGAAUGAAAAUGUUAGAAGCUCAGCAAAUGUUGUCAAAUCUGCUCAUAGUGAUGGAGUUCAUUUGCCGUUUGUGUCAGAGCAAAUGGAUUUGCAUUAUUUCAGGAGCUGGGCUGUAUUAGUAUCAACUAUUGUAAAGCUCAGUUCACCCAUGGAGCAAAUGGAUGAUGAUUCAUUCUUUUCCUAAAUAGAGUAUUAAGUUCAGUCUCAUCUUGCAAUUAUUUAAUUUUCCAAAUAAGAAAUUUCAAAGCUCUAGGAUCUAACUCCAUGAUUAUAUAAUUUCUUUCAGAGCAGAUGAAAUUUAAGGAUAGACUAUACCAUGGUUACCUAUGUUUAAGCACUGUCCCAGUUCAGGCAGUAUCAUACUAAUUUUAUUUAAUGACUGAACAGCAAUAUAGCUUUCUGAUCUUAAUUUUAUUGGAUUUUGUUCUAUUAUUUUAAACCUUGACAUCUCAAGGGUGAGUCAACCUUACAGAUUUACCAAAAAAACCAAAAAGCAAUAAUUAGUAUGCAUUUCUAUAAAUUUAGUGCAUCAUACACAGAUGGAAAAUCAGAAGCUGUUAAAAUAAAAACUUGUGAGUAACUUCACACAAUAAUACUUCCCAAACUACAUAAAUGUCAGCUACCCAAGAAUUCCUCAAAUAUAAUUACAUUUUUAAAAUUAUUUUUAAAAUACAUAUCCUAUAAAUUUGAAGGGAUUUAUUAAAAAUAUUUUUAAUUACUUAUGCAAAAUUCUAUUCCCUAAGAAGGGAAAACCACCUGCGUUAUUUGUGCAGAUGUAAUUGUGGCCAAAGAAGAGUAGGGUGAGAAGAUGUGAGAGGAACAGCUUUGCAGACACGAAGAUCAGAGAAAGAGGGGUAGAAAACGCUCCAGGCACUGGAGCUGAGGUUCCCAUGCAGCCCAUGGUGCAGACCAGGAUGAGGCUACUGUGCCCCUGCAGCCCAUGAAGGGUCAUGGAGGAACAAAGAGCCAUCUGCAGCCCAUGGAGGAACUCCUGUUGGAGCAGGUGAAUCCCUGAAGGAAGGCUGUGACCUUGUGGGAAGCCCACUCUGGAACAGGCUCCUGGUGGGACUGGAGAGAGGAGCCCACACUGGAGCAGGUUUGCUGGCAGGAUUUGUGGCUUCAUGGGGACCUGCAGUGGAGCAGUUUGUGACAAACUAGCUCACAGGAAGCACUCAUGUCCCCACGUGGAGGAACUGCCUCCCCUGGCAAGGACACCAUGAUGGAGCAGGAGAAGAACUCCUCUCCCUAAAAGAGAAGGAGUGGUAGGAACAAUGUGAUGAGCUAGCUAUAAUCUCCCAUUCCCUGUCUCCCUGCACUGCUCAAGGGCAGGAAAUAGAGAAUAAGGAAUAAAGUUAAGCCCAGGAAGGAGGGAGAGGUGGGG
Long non-coding RNA from Hirundo rustica (Barn swallow), 4635 nucleotides. RefSeq lists it as uncharacterized. The record is from RefSeq and is a predicted model, not a curated record. NCBI's taxonomy places the organism in Eukaryota, Metazoa, Chordata, Aves, Passeriformes, Hirundinidae. The transcript is spliced from 4 exons.